GACGAACGCUGGCGGCGUGCUUAUCACAUGCAAGUCGAACGGAAAGGCCCUGCUUGCAGGGUACUCGAGUGGCGAACGGGUGAGUAACACGUGGGUGAUCUGCCCUGCACUUCGGGAUAAGCUUGGGAAACUGGGUCUAAUACCGGAUAGGACCGCACUUUAGUGUGUGUGGUGGAAAGUUUUUUCGGUGUAGGAUGAGCUCGCGGCCUAUCAGCUUGUUGGUGGGGUAAUGGCCUACCAAGGCGGCGACGGGUAGCCGGCCUGAGAGGGUGUACGGCCACAUUGGGACUGGGAUACGGCCCAGACUCCUACGGGAGGCAGCAGUGGGGAAUAUUGCACAAUGGGCGCAAGCCUGAUGCAGCGACGCCGCGUGGGGGAUGAAGGCCUUCGGGUUGUAAACUCCUUUCGCUAGGGACGAAGCUUUGUUGUGACGGUACCUAGAGAAGAAGCACCGGCUAACUACGUG
RNAcentral lists this ribosomal RNA (466 nucleotides) under uncultured bacterium. RNAcentral describes it as "partial 16S ribosomal RNA". It matches the Rfam family "Bacterial small subunit ribosomal RNA", at positions 28 to 507 of the family's 1533-position model. The record is from RNAcentral.